RNAcentral lists this ribosomal RNA (460 nucleotides) under uncultured bacterium. RNAcentral's name for it is "partial 16S ribosomal RNA". It matches the Rfam family "Bacterial small subunit ribosomal RNA", at positions 338 to 795 of the family's 1533-position model. The record is from RNAcentral.
CCUACGGGAGGCAGCAGUGAGGAAUAUUGGUCAAUGGACGAGAGUCUGAACCAGCCAAGUAGCGUGAAGGAUGACUCCCCUAUGGGUUGUAAACUUCUUUUAUAUGGGAAUAAAAUGUUCCACGUGUGGGAUUUUGUAUGUACCAUAUGAAUAAGGAUCGGCUAACUCCGUGCCAGCAGCCGCGGUAAUACGGAGGAUCCGAGCGUUAUCCGGAUUUAUUGGGUUUAAAGGGAGCAUAGGUGGAUUGUUAAGUCAGUUGUGAAAGUUUGCGGCUCAACCGUAAAAUUGCAGUUGAAACUGGCAGUCGUGAGUACAGUAGAGGUGGGCGGAAUUCGUGGUGUAGCGGUGAAAUGCUUAGAUAUCACGAAGAACUCCGAUUGCGAAGGCAGCUCACUGGACUGCAACUGACACUGAGGCUCGAAAGUGUGGGUAUCAAACAGGAUUAGAUACCCCGGUAGUC